CAACUGCUAAUGCAUGUGCUCAGUGGUUAUUAUAAGGGUGGGUAUGUGCUUAUUUUAGGCCAAGGUUUCCCAACUGGUGAUGCAUGUGCUCAAAAAAAAAAUAAAAAAAAAAUUUAAUAAGCAAUAAAGUGUCAUAACUUUACGGGUAAAUGGGUAUCAUUCUUCAAAAGGUGGGUUUUGUUGUAGGGCAGGUACUGUUAAAAUAGGGUAGAUUCAAGAUGUACGGGUUUAUAAUGUUUAUUUUAUGACUUAAGUCAAAGGGUGGUUUGUAAUGGUAUUUAUUAAUUAAUGACUUUUUGUCAUAAAAAAGCAUAAUGAGCUUAAUGCUUUAGACGCACCACUACAUGUCAGUAAAGCAUAAUGAGCUUAAUGCUUUAGAGGCACCACUAGGGGUCAGUGUGCUAACUCAUGUGCUUCUGGCAGUGACAUCACAGGCCAGCCUACUUACUGGAUAAAACCAAAUAGUAGGAGGAAUUGAGCCUCCUUUUUCCUUUGCUUGCAUUGAUUGAACAUGUAGCUGUGUGUAUAGCUCCAGCCAAACAGGCUGGAGCCGUGUAAGUAAUCUAUUAUAACAGCUAGCAACUGUUAUAGCCUUUUGUAAG
RNAcentral lists this long non-coding RNA (602 nucleotides) under Pelobates cultripes (western spadefoot toad). The record is from RNAcentral. Lineage: Eukaryota; Metazoa; Chordata; Amphibia; Anura; Pelobatidae.